This 541-nucleotide long non-coding RNA is filed under the name Homo sapiens (human). Its description in RNAcentral is "non-protein coding lnc-L3MBTL4-5:1". The record is from RNAcentral. Lineage: Eukaryota; Metazoa; Chordata; Mammalia; Primates; Hominidae.
GGGAAGCAGCCAGGUCAGUGCCCAUGUAAGGAAGGUUAUACAGGAGAAAAAUGUGAUCGCUGCCAACUUGGCUAUAAGGAUUACCCGACCUGUGUCUCCUGUGGGUGCAACCCAGUGGGCAGUGCCAGUGAUGAGCCCUGCACAGGGCCCUGUGUUUGUAAGGAAAACGUUGAGGGGAAGGCCUGUGAUCGCUGCAAGCCAGGAUUCUAUAACUUGAAGGAAAAAAACCCCCGGGGCUGCUCCGAGUGCUUCUGCUUUGGCGUUUCUGAUGUCUGCAGCAGCCUCUCUUGGCCUGUUGGUCAGGUGGGAGGCGCCAUCUGCGCGGCGGGAUUUAAUGAGCAGGUCGUAUUGCACAAGCUUGGCACGAGCUGUGUGAGGAGGAAAUGAGGAUGACUUCCCGUGACACCACUCUCAUCGCUAUGCAAUGAUACUGACGUGGGUCAAAGGCAGCCGUCUGCCUCUCAAGAUUCUUUAUAGGUCAUGUGCUUACUCCCACACACAUUUCUCUAUGGAAAAAACAGGAUGAUGUGGCACUAGAGAA